This 73-nucleotide transfer RNA is filed under the name Ovis aries (sheep). It matches the Rfam family "tRNA". Rfam says of the family: Transfer RNA (tRNA) molecules are approximately 80 nucleotides in length. Their secondary structure includes four short double-helical elements and three loops (D, anti-codon, and T loops). Further hydrogen bonds mediate the characteristic L-shaped molecular structure. tRNAs have two regions of fundamental functional importance: the anti-codon, which is responsible for specific mRNA codon recognition, and the 3' end, to which the tRNAs corresponding amino acid is attached (by aminoacyl-tRNA synthetases). tRNAs cope with the degeneracy of the genetic code in two manners: having more than one tRNA (with a specific anti-codon) for a particular amino acid; and 'wobble' base-pairing, i.e. permitting non-standard base-pairing at the 3rd anti-codon position. The record is from Rfam by way of RNAcentral. Lineage: Eukaryota; Metazoa; Chordata; Mammalia; Artiodactyla; Bovidae.
UCCCUGGUGGUCCAGUGCCUUGGACUUCCCACUCCCAAUGCGGGGGGCCUGGGUUCGAUCCCUGGUUGGGGAA